CCUACGGGCGGCAGCAGUGAGGAAUAUUGGUCAAUGGGCGCGAGCCUGAACCAGCCAAGUAGCGUGAAGGAUGACUGCCCUACGGGUUGUAAACUUCUUUUAUAAAGGAAUAAAGUGAGGCACGUGUGCCUUUUCGUACGUACUUUAUGAAUAAGGAUCGGCUAACUCCGUGCCAGCAGCCGCGGUAAUACGGAGGAUCCGAGCGGUAUCCGGAUUUAUUGGGUUUAACGGGAGCCUAGAUGGGUUUUUAAGUCAGUUGUGAAAGUUUGCGGCUCAACCGUAAAAUUGCAAUUGAUACUGGCAGUCUUGAGUACAGUUGAGGUAGGCGGAAUUCGUGGUGUAGCGGUGAAAUGCGUAGAUAUCACGAAGAACACCGAUUGCGAAGGCAGCUUACUAAGCUGCCACUGACAUUGAUGCUCGAAAGUGUGGGUAUCAAACAGGAUUAGAUACCCCAGUAGUC
RNAcentral lists this ribosomal RNA (460 nucleotides) under uncultured bacterium. Its description in RNAcentral is "partial 16S ribosomal RNA". It matches the Rfam family "Bacterial small subunit ribosomal RNA", at positions 338 to 795 of the family's 1533-position model. The record is from RNAcentral.